CCUACGGGUGGCAGCAGUGAGGAAUAUUGGUCAAUGGCCGUAAGGCUGAACCAGCCAAGUCGCGUGAAGGAAGAAGGAUCUAUGGUUUUUAAACUUCGUUUUUAGGGGAAUAAAGUUAUCCACGUGUGUAUAUUUUCAUUUAUCCUAUGUUUAAGCAUCGGCUAACUCCGUGCCAUCAGCCGCGGUAAUACGGAGGAUGCGAGCGUGGUCCGGGUUGAUUGGGUUGAAAGGGUGCGUAGGUUGUAUUUUAAGUCAGCUGUGAAAGGUUGUGGCUCAAACAUAAGAUUGCCGUUGAAACUGGAAGACUUGAGUGUGUUUGAGGUAAGCGGAAUGCGAGGUGUAGCGGUGAAAUGUAUAGAUAUCACGAAGAACACCGAUUGCGAAGGCAGCUUACUAAGCCAUAACUGACACUGAAGCACGAAAGCGUGGGGAUCAAACAGGAUUAGAUACCCUAGUAGUC
Molecule: ribosomal RNA, 460 nt
Filed under: uncultured bacterium
Lineage: Bacteria
Description: partial 16S ribosomal RNA
Rfam family: Bacterial small subunit ribosomal RNA
Source: RNAcentral